GUCCUUUUUGAUAGUUCAUAAUUUUUGUGCAAUUUUUUUUUGGAGUCUACCAAAUACCAAAUGCAGACAACAAUGUUGAUUUAGCUUUCAGAAUGUGGUUGAAAUCGUGGAUGAUGGUGGCAAGUCGAUGUUGGAGGCAAAUGUGAAUGAUACUCAAGAGUUGCACACAAAGAGCACAUGAAGAAAGAUGGGAAAGCUCUCUUCUUGAUUCCUCAAUGUGUGGAUCCAAAUAUUUUUUAGAAGAUCAUUGAGGAAGAAACAACCAAAGGAGCUUGGGAUAAAUUGAAUAAAUUGUAUUGUGGAGUUGAGAAGCUGAAGAGAGUGAAAUUGCAGAACUUGAGGAAGCACUAUGAGAUGACUCAAAUGAAAGAAGUGGAAAAAAUCGCAUAAUUUUUCUCAAGAUUGGUAUUGUUGACCAAUCAGAUAAAGACGUGUGAUGAAUCAAUCACUUAUUUACAAAAGACUGAGCAGGCAUUGAGAGCCUUAAUUGUAAAGUUUGAUUACAUUGUAUUGUCAAUAGAGGAAUCCAAGAACCUAUCUGAGAUGAAGUUAGAAAAACUUCAAGCUUCUUUAGAGGCUUGUGAGAUGAUAUUGAUGCAAAAAAAACUCAUAAAGGAAAAAGGUGGUUGAGUAGGUGUAAGACCCCAAUUGUGACCCUAAGAACCCUCAUGCAAUUUCAUAAUAAGCAUUAGCAUUGGGAUCAUACCUUGGCAUCCUCCUUACCUCUCUCUCAUUGGGUUUGUUUUGGGAGAGAUCACCAAGCACCAGGUGAUUGUAUCAUACUUGUAUAUUAUCAUUUUACUAACCAAAAUACCAAAAAUAUGUCUUUGCAUUUGCCUAACUCUUUUGUAGGUAAGGCAUGAUCACAUUGAUUUAUCAAGUUCAUAUCUAGGGUUUAAGUCCCUCAUGACAAAGAGCAUAACCAUGAAUUGAUCCAAGAAUGGUUAUAAGCAUCAUAUAUGGGUUCCAUUGAUUCUUACAUGUUAUUUUGAUCAAAUAUUCUUCAAGAGUUUGGAGUUGGUUUGCCUUGGAAACCCUAGUUUGACUGGGUAUCUUAAGUAACUUCUCCAACAAGUUAUCUCAUCAAUUGAUCAAAUUUCUCAAGGGACACUUCAAAAUUAAUAAUAUUAUGCAUAUAUGAUCUACAAUGAGCUAAUAAAGUCAAAAUAAUUGAAGGUUAGCAAGUUGGUUGAUGGUGGUUGGCCAGAUGAAUUCAUCUAAUCAAAAUUGGGUCUCCCUAGGCUCUAUCUCCUACAAUUUUCACCAUAUGAAAAUGAUUCCAAGACCAAAGUUACUCUAAAUGAAAUCCUAAACAACUUUCAUGUUGAUACCUAGAUCUAGU
This is a long non-coding RNA of Lathyrus oleraceus (garden pea), 1342 nucleotides long. RefSeq lists it as uncharacterized. The transcript is spliced from 2 exons. Lineage: Eukaryota; Viridiplantae; Streptophyta; Magnoliopsida; Fabales; Fabaceae. The record is from RefSeq and is a predicted model, not a curated record.